UACGUAGGGGGCAAGCGUUGUCCGGAAUCAUUGGGCGUAAAGCGCGUGUAGGCGGCCCGGUUAGUCCGCUGUGAAAGUCGGGGGCUCAACCCUCGAAUGCCGGUGGAUACUGUCGGGCUAGAGUGCGGGAGAGGCGAGUGGAAUUCCUGGUGUAGCGGUGAAAUGCGCAGAUAUCAGGAGGAACACCAAUUGCGAAGGCAGCUCGCUGGAACGUAACUGACGCUGAGACGCGAAAGCGUGGGGAGCAAACAGG
This 253-nucleotide ribosomal RNA is filed under the name uncultured bacterium. RNAcentral's name for it is "partial 16S ribosomal RNA". It matches the Rfam family "Bacterial small subunit ribosomal RNA", at positions 524 to 776 of the family's 1533-position model. The record is from RNAcentral.